UGUUUCUUCUUCAAGAGGAGGAGUCAAUGCAAAUGCUGAAUGCUCCAUUUAUACAUGUCUGUUAGUUUAAGAGCAGCAGUGAAUUAGUGGUGAACACAGUAAGAACAGAGACAAAUGGCUUCUACAAUGAUUAGAUUUAAGUUUCUCCUUGCUGUUAUCAUCUUGUCUGCAAACUGGUGUGGAACUGAUGGUCAAACACUGACUGAGUCUGAAUCAGUGGUUAAAAGGCCUGGAGAAUCUCACAGACUGACCUGCACAUAUUCUGGGUUUAGUAGCAAUCCUUACAUAGCUUGGAUCAGACAGGCGGCUGGAAAAGGACUGGAAUGGAUCGCUUAUAUCUACUAUGACAGCAGCUACAUGUACUACUCUGACUCAGUAAGAGGCCGGUUCACCAUCUCCAGAGACAACAGCAGAAGUCAGGUGUAUCUGCAGAUGAACAGCCUGACAGCUGGAGAUUCUGCUGUUUAUUACUGCGCUCGGGAGACACAGUGACACAGAAAGCAGAAACACUGAACAAAAACUCCUGUCGUCAUGAAAAGUUUUAACAAGAAGCCACCACAGGGGGAGCCCUAACACCACUUUUCAUAGGUGACUGUCACUCUCACCUCUCUGGUAGCUUUACCUAUGUUAGAUGCUAUUGAUAAGAGCAUGGAGUCAUUUUUCU
Molecule: non-coding RNA, 664 nt
Organism: Poecilia latipinna (sailfin molly)
Lineage: Eukaryota; Metazoa; Chordata; Actinopteri; Cyprinodontiformes; Poeciliidae
Source: the annotation of a RefSeq genome assembly